UUGAACGCUGGCGGCAUGCUUUACACAUGCAAGUCGAACGGUAACAGGCCGCAAGGUGCUGACGAGUGGCGAACGGGUGAGUAAUACAUCGGAACGUGCCCAGUCGUGGGGGAUAACUACUCGAAAGAGUAGCUAAUACCGCAUACGAUCUAUGGAUGAAAGCGGGGGACCGUAAGGCCUCGCGCGAUUGGAGCGGCCGAUGUCAGAUUAGGUAGUUGGUGGGGUAAAGGCUCACCAAGCCAACGAUCUGUAGCUGGUCUGAGAGGACAACCAGCCACACUGGGACUGAGACACGGCCCAGACUCCUACGGGAGGCAGCAGUGGGGAAUUUUGGACAAAGGGCGCAAGCCUGAUCCAGCAAUGCCGCGUGCAGGAAGAAGGCCUUCGGGUUGUAAACUGCUUUUGUACGGAACGAAACGGCUCUGGUUAAUACCCGGGGCUAAUGACGGUACCGUAAGAAUAAGCACCGGCUAACUACGUG
RNAcentral lists this ribosomal RNA (481 nucleotides) under uncultured bacterium. Its description in RNAcentral is "partial 16S ribosomal RNA". It matches the Rfam family "Bacterial small subunit ribosomal RNA", at positions 30 to 507 of the family's 1533-position model. The record is from RNAcentral.